Molecule: non-coding RNA, 701 nt
Organism: Cyanistes caeruleus (blue tit)
Lineage: Eukaryota; Metazoa; Chordata; Aves; Passeriformes; Paridae
Source: RefSeq, a predicted model, not a curated record
UAUGCUUGCCAAUGGACACCCCUCCGACACUCGCACAGAUGGCAGAAGCCUGUGCGAGGAAAGCAGAGAUGUUUUCACAGGAAAAGAGACUUCCUUGGACCACCCAAAGACCUGUUGCUGCAGUUUCAUCUGAAACAAGGAGUGAACAGAUGACGUCUGACCAGCAACAGCAAAUUUGUUUUCACUGCAGAAAACCGGGACAUUUUGCUAAAAACUGUCCUUUAAAACAAUGGAAACACACUGAUACCAGCUUGCCAAAAAGCUUGGGUCUCAGUGCUUACCUGCCCGGCGCGCAGACAUAAAUGAAGCGGGGACCAAUUUCUGUCCUUUAAUAAAAAGGGGGGAGGGGGGUGAAAAACUGCAGAAAUAUAAUUGUGAAAAACAUUUGCCUAAUAAGGUCUGGCAACCGUAAAAGCGAUUCAGACUUGUAACUGCUAAAGCUUUUUGUUUCAGAUCUGAUUGUUGGACUGUCGUUGGAGUAGACUUGCAGGAUAAUUCACAAGACCUGGCUGGACUGGAUAGCCCCUGAUGGAUUCCUCAGAAAUGGGUAAAACCUUUUGUUCCAAAGAAUCCAGCACCAGCAAGAAGAGAAGAGAAGCAAGUGGCUGUUGCUUCCAAGAGAAGACGCCACUGGAGAGAGCAAGAAGAAACCUUUCUAGCCUCUGACCUGCAUACUUUAACUGUGAAUAUGUUUUAAAAAA